AUUUUUGAUGUCAUGACUGUAGAGCAGAGGAUUCCAAUGGUGCUAUUGGGAUCUAAUGGGUAGAGGCCAGGGAUACUGGUAAGAACCCCACAAUGCACAGGACGCUUCCUCACGACGAUGAGUUACGCAACCCCAGAUGCCAGCGUUACAGAGCUUGAGAAGCCCAGCUGUAAAGGGAGACAGCGAAGAAAACACAGGCUUCUGGAGAGGCAGCCAGGAGGGCGUGGAAAUUGUGUGCGCAGGUGACUUGACAUCUGCAGCCAUCGAGGUUAAGGGGACUGAGGCCCCAGGACACUUUUCAACAGUAACUGUGACCAGUCCAAGUGGUCAGAGUCAGUGGAAUUCCCAAGGAGACGGGGCCGGGAAGACUUCAUCUGAGGGGCUCACUCCUGGGACGAGCUAUCCAGUCAGCUUUUCAGACGCCUCUUCUACCUGCUGUCAAGUGC
RNAcentral lists this long non-coding RNA (446 nucleotides) under Equus caballus (horse). RNAcentral's name for it is "lncRNA (ENSECAG00000057263.1)". Lineage: Eukaryota; Metazoa; Chordata; Mammalia; Perissodactyla; Equidae. The record is from RNAcentral.